RNAcentral lists this ribosomal RNA (708 nucleotides) under uncultured bacterium. Its description in RNAcentral is "bacterial SSU rRNA". It matches the Rfam family "Bacterial small subunit ribosomal RNA", at positions 143 to 845 of the family's 1533-position model. The record is from RNAcentral.
AUAAGCGGAAGAAAUUCCGUCUAAUACCGCGUAACAACCCGAGGAGGCAUCUCCUCGGGUUUAAAGGAAGCGAUUCCGGCUACGGAUGGUCAUGUGUCGCAUUAGCUAGUUGGCGGGGUAACGGCCCACCAAGGCGACGAUGCGUAGGGGUUCUGAGAGGAAGGUCCCCCACACUGGUACUGAGACACGGACCAGACUCCUACGGGAGGCAGCAGUGAGGAAUAUUGGUCAAUGGCCGCAGGGCUGAACCAGCCAAGUCGCGUGAGGGAUGACGGUCCUAUGGAUUGUAAACCUCUUUUGUCAGGGAGCAAAGGGCGCCACGUGUGGUGUUUUGCGAGUACCUGAAGAAAAAGCAUCGGCUAACUCCGUGCCAGCAGCCGCGGUAAUACGGAGGAUGCGAGCGUUAUCCGGAUUUAUUGGGUUUAAAGGGUGCGCAGGCGGAAUGUCAAGUCAGCGGUAAAAUUUCGGGGCUCAACCCCGUCGUGCCGUUGAAACUGGCGUUCUUGAGUGAGCGAGAAGUAUGCGGAAUGCGUGGUGUAGCGGUGAAAUGCAUAGAUAUCACGCAGAACUCCGAUUGCGAAGGCAGCAUACCGGCGCUCAACUGACGCUCAUGCACGAAAGCGUGGGUAUCGAACAGGAUUAGAUACCCUGGUAGUCCACGCAGUAAACGAUGAAUACUAACUGUCCGGGCAGAAUGAUGCCUGGGUG